Danio rerio (zebrafish) is the source of this 127-nucleotide non-coding RNA. Lineage: Eukaryota; Metazoa; Chordata; Actinopteri; Cypriniformes; Danionidae. The record is from RefSeq and is a predicted model, not a curated record.
GUGUGUGUGUGUGUGUGUGUGUGUGUGUUUGUAUUUGUGUUUGCAUUUAUCAUAUUGCAUCAUGAAAUCAAACGCAGAGUAUUUGUGUUUGUUUUUGUGUGUGUGUGUGUGUGUGUGUGUGUGUGUG